RNAcentral lists this long non-coding RNA (515 nucleotides) under Cyanistes caeruleus (blue tit). RNAcentral describes it as "lncRNA (ENSCCEG00000017531.1)". Lineage: Eukaryota; Metazoa; Chordata; Aves; Passeriformes; Paridae. The record is from RNAcentral.
GUUUGUUUUCUUUAUGGUUCCAGGUCCACUUGAAAUCAUGGCCCAGCCCUUUUUUCACUUGCUGUCUUUUGUGAAAUCAAAUUGAGGAAACCUAAAAGUCCGCUAAAGCAGACCUUGUGAGAUGUUCUUCUGGACAAAAGGUCAAGAGACAGGACUCUGGGACUUCAGUCAAUUCUAGACAGCCUGAGGCUUGCACAGAGAUCUGGAAUCAGGUAAGCUGCUGCUGGAAAUCAGCUUUGCCUGAGCUUUAGUGUCUGAUAGUGUCGGGUUUCCCACUGGCCAAAUGCCAGGCAUCCACUAAUGUCACUCACUUAUCCUCCCCUGCCACAGAUGGGCAGAGGAGAGAAAAAAUUAACUCUCAUGAGUUGAGACAAGGGCUGUGAGAGCACACUCCAAGGGCAAAACAGGCUCAGCUUAGAGGUACAAAGUGAAUGUAUUACUAACAAAAUCAGAGGAGGAUAACGAGAAGUAAAAUAAGCCCUUAAAACACCUUUUCUUCUUCCAGCCCCUCCCUC